GGGAACAUACCCUUUUCUACGGAAUAGCUCUGGGAAACUGGAAUUAAUACCGUAUACGCCCUACGGGGGAAAGAUUUAUCGGGGAAGGAUUGGCCCGCGUUGGAUUAGCUAGUUGGUGGGGUAAAGGCCUACCAAGGCGACGAUCCAUAGCUGGUCUGAGAGGAUGAUCAGCCACAUUGGGACUGAGACACGGCCCAAACUCCUACGGGAGGCAGCAGUGGGGAAUAUUGGACAAUGGGCGCAAGCCUGAUCCAGCCAUGCCGCGUGAGUGAUGAAGGCCUUAGGGUUGUAAAGCUCUUUCACCGAUGAAGAUAAUGACGGUAGUCGGAGAAGAAGCCCCGGCUAACUUCGUGCCAGCAGCCGCGGUAAUACGAAGGGGGCUAGCGUUGUUCGGAAUUACUGGGCGUAAAGCGCACGUAGGCGGAUAUUUAAGUCAGGGGUGAAAUCCCAGAGCUCAACUCUGGAACUGCCUUUGAUACUGGGUAUCUUGAGUAUGGAAGAGGUAAGUGGGAUUGCGAGU
This 520-nucleotide ribosomal RNA is filed under the name uncultured bacterium. RNAcentral's name for it is "bacterial SSU rRNA". It matches the Rfam family "Bacterial small subunit ribosomal RNA", at positions 120 to 674 of the family's 1533-position model. The record is from RNAcentral.